GCUGGGCAUAGUGACGCAUACCUGUAAUCCCAGCAGCUUGGGAGGCUGAGGCAAGAGGAUUGCAAGUUCAAAGCCAGCAUCAUUAAAAGCAAGGUGCUAAGCAACUCAGUGAGACCCUGCCUAAA
Molecule: small RNA, 125 nt
Filed under: Marmota monax (woodchuck)
Lineage: Eukaryota; Metazoa; Chordata; Mammalia; Rodentia; Sciuridae
Source: RNAcentral